GCAGUGGUGGUUCAGUGGUAGAAUCUUGCCUUCCAUGUGCAAGACCCAGGUUCGAUUCCUGGUCAAUGCA
Molecule: transfer RNA, 70 nt
Filed under: Loxodonta africana (African savanna elephant)
Lineage: Eukaryota; Metazoa; Chordata; Mammalia; Proboscidea; Elephantidae
Rfam family: tRNA
About the family: Transfer RNA (tRNA) molecules are approximately 80 nucleotides in length. Their secondary structure includes four short double-helical elements and three loops (D, anti-codon, and T loops).
Source: Rfam by way of RNAcentral